CCUACGGGAGGCAGCAGUGGGGAAUAUUGCUCAAUGGGCGAAAGCCUGACGCAGCGACGCCGCGUGAGGGAUGAAGGUCUUCGGAUCGGAAACCUCUGUCAGCAGGGAAGAACGGUCACUGUGCUAAUCAGCAGUGAAUUGACGGUACCUGCAAAGGAAGCACCGGCUAACUCCGGGCCAGCAGCCGCGGUAAUACGGAGGGUGCGAGCGUUAAUCGGAAUUACUGGGCGUAAAGCGCUCGUAGGCGGUAUGUCAAGUCAAGGGUGAAAUCCCCGGGCUCAACGUGGGAACUGCCUUUGAUACUGGCAACCUGGAGUGUGUGAGAGGAUAGUGGAAUUCGAGGUGUAGGAGUGAAAUGCGUAGAUAUCUGGAGGAACAUCGGUGGCGAAGGCGACUAUCUGGCACAUAACUGACGCUGAGGAGCGAAAGUGUGGGUAGCAAACAGGAUUAGAUACCCCAGUAGUC
Molecule: ribosomal RNA, 465 nt
Filed under: uncultured bacterium
Lineage: Bacteria
Description: partial 16S ribosomal RNA
Rfam family: Bacterial small subunit ribosomal RNA
Source: RNAcentral